RNAcentral lists this ribosomal RNA (253 nucleotides) under uncultured bacterium. RNAcentral's name for it is "partial 16S ribosomal RNA". It matches the Rfam family "Bacterial small subunit ribosomal RNA", at positions 524 to 776 of the family's 1533-position model. The record is from RNAcentral.
UACGUAGGGGGCAAGCGUUGUCCGGAUUUAUUGGGCGUAAAGAGCGUGUAGGCGGCCUUACAGGUCAGCUGUGAAAACUCGAGGCUCAACCUCGAGACGUCGGUUGAAACCGUAUGGCUAGAGUCCGGAAGAGGAGAGUGGAAUUCCCGGUGUAGCGGUCAAAUGCGCAGAUAUCGGGAAGAACACCCGUGGCGAAGGCGGCUCUCUGGGACGGUACUGACGCUGAGACGCGAAAGCGUGGGGAGCAAACAGG